UUCGGCAGUCAUAGCGUGAGGGAAACGCCCGGUCCCAUUCCGAACCCGGAAGCUAAGCCUCAUAGCGCCGAUGGUACUGCCCUGGUGACGGGGUGGGAGAGUAGGACGCUGCCGGAC
RNAcentral lists this ribosomal RNA (117 nucleotides) under Sanguibacter sp. HDW7. The record is from RNAcentral. Lineage: Bacteria; Bacillati; Actinomycetota; Actinomycetes; Micrococcales; Sanguibacteraceae.